AAGCCAUGGUGAGGGCAAGCAUUAAUGGCUUCCAUGUAUCUUUCCCAACACUCAUAGAAUUUCUCAUUCUCUUUAGUUGAGAAGUUUGAAAUUUGCCUUUUCAAGCUU
Small nucleolar RNA from Vitis riparia (riverbank grape), 108 nucleotides. NCBI's taxonomy places the organism in Eukaryota, Viridiplantae, Streptophyta, Magnoliopsida, Vitales, Vitaceae. The record is from RefSeq and is a predicted model, not a curated record.